Molecule: ribosomal RNA, 459 nt
Filed under: uncultured bacterium
Lineage: Bacteria
Description: SSU rRNA
Rfam family: Bacterial small subunit ribosomal RNA
Source: RNAcentral
AGAAUCAACGCUGGCGGCGUGCCUAACACAUGCAAGUCGCACGAGAAAGGGGAGCAAUCCCUGAGUACAGUGGCGCACGGGUGAGUAACACGUGAAUAAUCUACCUCAGAGUGGGGAAUAACUGAGAGAAAUCUUAGCUAAUACCGCAUAAUACCCACGGGUCAAAGCAGCAAUGCGCUUGGAGAGGAGUUCGCGGCAGAUUAGUUAGUUGGCGGGGUAAUGGCCCACCAAGACGAUGAUCUGUAUCCGGCCUGAGAGGGCGCACGGACACACUGGAACUGAAACACGGUCCAGACUCCUACGGGAGGCAGCAGUGGGGAAUUUUGCGCAAUGGGGGAAACCCUGACGCAGCAACGCCGCGUGGAGGAUGAAGCCCCUUGGGGUGUAAACUCCUUUCGAUCGGGAAGAUAAUGACGGUACCGAUAUAAGAAGCCCGGCUAACUUCGUGCCAGCAGCCGC